Molecule: ribosomal RNA, 454 nt
Filed under: uncultured organism
Description: partial 16S ribosomal RNA
Rfam family: Bacterial small subunit ribosomal RNA
Source: RNAcentral
UACACUCCUACGGGAGCAGCAGUGGGGAAUAUUGCACAAUGGGCGCAAGCCUGAUGCAGCGACGCCGCGUGGGGGAUGAAGGCCUUCGGGUUGUAAACUCCUUUCGCUAGGGACGAAGCUUUUUUGUGACGGUACCUAGAUAAGAAGCACCGGCUAACUACGUGCCAGCAGCCGCGGUAAUACGUAGGGUGCGAGCGUUGUCCGGAAUUACUGGGCGUAAAGGGCUCGUAGGUGGUUUGUCGCGUCGUCUGUGAAAUUCUGGGGCUUAACUCCGGGCGUGCAGGCGAUACGGGCAUAACUUGAGUGCUGUAGGGGUAACUGGAAUUCCUGGUGUAGCGGUGAAAUGCGCAGAUAUCAGGAGGAACACCGAUGGCGAAGGCAGGUUACUGGGCAGUUACUGACGCUGAGGAGCGAAAGCAUGGGUAGCGAACAGGAUUAGAUACCCUAGUAGUCC